GAACCUACGGGGGGCAGCAGUGGGGAAUAUUGCACAAUGGGGGAAACCCUGAUGCAGCGACGCCGCGUGAGUGAAGAAGUAUUUCGGUACGUAAAGCUCUAUCAGCAGGGAAGAAAUAAAGUCCUUUGGACUUUGGACGGUACCUGACUAAGAAGCCCCGGCUAACUACGUGCCAGCAGCCGCGGUAAUACGUAGGGGGCAAGCGUUAUCCGGAUUUACUGGGUGUAAAGGGAGCGCAGGCGGCGUGGCAAGUCAGAUGUGAAAACCCGGGGCUCAACCCCGGGACUGCAUUUGGAACUGUAUGG
Molecule: ribosomal RNA, 305 nt
Filed under: uncultured bacterium
Lineage: Bacteria
Description: bacterial SSU rRNA
Rfam family: Bacterial small subunit ribosomal RNA
Source: RNAcentral